GAUGAACGCUGGCGGCGUGCUUAACACAUGCAAGUCGAACGAUGAACCUCACUUGUGGGGGGAUUAGUGGCGAACGGGUGAGUAACACGUGAGUAACCUGCCCUUGACUCUGGGAUAAGCCUGGGAAACCGGGUCUAAUACUGGAUACGACCUUCUGGCGCAUGCCAUGUUGGUGGAAAGCUUUUGUGGUUUUGGAUGGACUCGCGGCCUAUCAGCUUGUUGGUGGGGUAAUGGCCUACCAAGGCGACGACGGGUAGCCGGCCUGAGAGGGUGACCGGCCACACUGGGCCUGGGACCCGGCCCAGACUCCUACGGGAGGCAGCGGGGGGGAAUAUUGCACAAUGGGCGCAAGCCUGAUGCAGCGACGCCGCGUGAGGGAUGAAGGCCUUCGGGUUGUAAACCUCUUUCAGUAGGGAAGAAGCCGGCUUUUGGGUUGGUGACGGUACCUGCAGAAGAAGCGCCGGCUAACUACGUG
RNAcentral lists this ribosomal RNA (475 nucleotides) under uncultured bacterium. Its description in RNAcentral is "partial 16S ribosomal RNA". It matches the Rfam family "Bacterial small subunit ribosomal RNA", at positions 28 to 507 of the family's 1533-position model. The record is from RNAcentral.